Long non-coding RNA from Vicia villosa (hairy vetch), 592 nucleotides. RefSeq lists it as uncharacterized. The record is from RefSeq and is a predicted model, not a curated record. The transcript is spliced from 2 exons. NCBI's taxonomy places the organism in Eukaryota, Viridiplantae, Streptophyta, Magnoliopsida, Fabales, Fabaceae.
ACAGAGCACAACAAAGAUUAAAACGGAAGCGCUUACAUCUUCUUCUCGGGUAGCAAAAUUUGAGAACCUUGAAAUCUAUGUUGCCGAAUUUGCAAAAACCUUCCAAUUCGGAUUCAGAGCUAUUGAAAAAAUUAGAGCUGUAGAACUCUUUUGGAAUUAGUGGCUUUGGAUAAACACUAAUUGUGAGGAAAACGUACCAAAGAAGAUUUGGUGGAGGCCCCUCCAUGCUACAUAAUCUUAUUGGAAGCAAAUCGAGUCAACAGAAGUGGAUUUGCGCAAAGCAUUUCAUUGCCAAUUCUAUGAGUACUUCCUUGUUGUAGGGAAAAUUAUGGGUAUUGGAUAUGUAAGUAGAUUAAUAUCAUGUAUAGAUAUAUAGGCAAUUUCCGAUACUGAUAUUAAUUUGGAAGAAUCAUAACUUAGAUUGCUUACAAUAUAUUUUAAACUUAUGAGCUUUUUGAACUCCAUGUUCUGUUCUGACCAGAAUAUGUUCAAUGUUGAAAUUGAUGAGUUUACUAAGAUUUUAAAGUGUCACGGUCCCAAUUCAAACCAGUGUUAUUAGUUAAAAUAAAUAUCUAAUAACAGUGUCUAUCUA